RNAcentral lists this unclassified non-coding RNA (157 nucleotides) under uncultured Chaetothyriales. RNAcentral's name for it is "sequence contains ITS2". Lineage: Eukaryota; Fungi; Ascomycota; Eurotiomycetes; Chaetothyriales. The record is from RNAcentral.
UCAACCAUCAAGCCUGGCUUGCUGUUGGACCUCUGGUCGCGGCCCCCGCGACCGGUCCGAAAGUGAAUGACGGUGUCGGUCUGACCCGCGGUGCAACGAGCCUCUGGGCACGCACAGGUGUGGCAGGCCGGCCCGGUCCCAACCACCAUUUUUCUCA